GACGAACGCUGGCGGCGUGCCUAACACAUGCAAGUCGAGCGAGCUGAUUCCUUCGGGGUGAAGCUAGCGGCGGACGGGUGAGUAACACGUGGGCAACCUGCCUCAUAGAGGGGAAUAGCCUUCCGAAAGGAAGAUUAAUACCGCAUAAGAUUGUAGCUUCGCAUGAAGCAGCAAUUAAAGGAGUAAUCCGCUAUGAGAUGGGCCCGCGGCGCAUUAGCUAGUUGGUGAGGUAACGGCUCACCAAGGCGACGAUGCGUAGCCGACCUGAGAGGGUGAUCGGCCACAUUGGGGCUGAGACACGGCCCAGACUCCUACGGGAGGCAGCAGUGGGGAAUAUUGCACAAUGGGGGAAACCCUGAUGCAGCAAUGCCGCGUGAGUGAUGACGGCCUUCGGGUUGUAAAGCUCUGUCUUCGGGGACGAUAAUGACGGUACCCGAGGAGGAAGCCACGGCUAACUACGUGCCAGCCGCCGCAGUAA
Molecule: ribosomal RNA, 478 nt
Filed under: uncultured bacterium
Lineage: Bacteria
Description: partial 16S ribosomal RNA
Rfam family: Bacterial small subunit ribosomal RNA
Source: RNAcentral